Loxodonta africana (African savanna elephant) is the source of this 1111-nucleotide long non-coding RNA. RefSeq lists it as uncharacterized. The transcript has 2 exons. NCBI's taxonomy places the organism in Eukaryota, Metazoa, Chordata, Mammalia, Proboscidea, Elephantidae. The record is from RefSeq and is a predicted model, not a curated record.
GUCCGAACUGCGUGUCAUCCACGUAGCCGACGGCGAUGACCGAUGACGCGGGGCUCCCCGACGCCGGGCCGGGACACGGCGAGGCCAUUUCCCUCCUGACCACACACUCACCCGCCCGGGUCUGGGUCAGGGGCAGGGUCCCGGAGAGCAACAAGAGGAGGAUCUGGGAAGCCAUUAGCAUGAUCACUGGAGUCUGGGGAGAUGGAGUUCCAGUGGGCCCCUGAGGACCUGAUAACCAGGAUCGGAGGAGACACUGAUUGGCUACUGCAGAAACCUAUCAAUGAAAGUGAGAACUGUUGUCCUGUCCUGUGCCCAGGCAGAAAGAACUGAAACAGGUUGUGAGGGGGAGAAGUGAAACUCUGGGGAGACCAGGAAUCCCCAGCGCUUGGCUUUCUCACGUCAGACACCGCCCUAGGGGCCUGAGAGCCAAGCCCGGGUGCAAGGAGUUUGUCCUGACGCCUCUCCUCAGGUAAGGACCACUCUUUCUCAGAGGGGCUCCCUGAGUCCUACUCUGGGCUGUCAGAGGAAACCUGGGACAGAACCCCAGACUGGGGCCAGCCCUUCUUCUCCUCUUCCCUUCUUGGAAUGCCUUUCGCUGAACUGGACUCUCUACCUUCCACCUCUUGUUUCCCCCCUCCCCCCACCCCGACUUCUCGAAAAUAAAAUUCACCCUCAAAGAUUUUGAUGCCACAGAGUGAGCUCACCUUACCAAUGAAGGUGAAAGGACAGGGGUCUCCUCUUUAAACCUAGACGAGGCUGUGUCUGAAGACACCAGAUAGAUACUCCCACAGAGGCAAGUUUCCUUUUUAUUAACAGCAGUGGCUAGCUCAACUCUGAUAACCCCAAACCAUCAGGAAUUUAACCUGUAAGAGAAGGGAUUUUGUCCAUUCAUGUAUAAAUGUGUCUGAAAAGCUCUGCAGUCAGGCUCACAGAGUUCUGAAGUUUGACUUUCCCAAACAAUGUAUCUAUGACUCCUGGGUUAGUGUUUAUUAAAAUUAUCUUCAUUUCAUAGCUCUGAGUUUGUCUGAGUGCCACGUCUAUCUUCAAUACAAAGCAGCUCAUGAAAGCACAAUUUGUUACUGUAUAUUUUAACCAGAAGAGUGUGGGAACU